RNAcentral lists this ribosomal RNA (364 nucleotides) under uncultured Methanosaeta sp. RNAcentral describes it as "bacterial SSU rRNA". It matches the Rfam family "Archaeal small subunit ribosomal RNA", at positions 973 to 1338 of the family's 1478-position model. Lineage: Archaea; Methanobacteriati; Methanobacteriota; Methanomicrobia; Methanotrichales; Methanotrichaceae. The record is from RNAcentral.
GGAUUAGCUGAGAGUGGUGCAUGGCCGUCGUCAGUUCGUACUGUGAAGCAUCCUGUUAAGUCAGGCAACGAGCGAGACCCACGCCCACAGUUGCCAGCGUACUCUCCGGAGUGACGGGUACACUGUGGGGACCGCCGCUGCUAAAGCGGAGGAAGGAAUGGGCAACGGUAGGUCAGUAUGCCCCGAAUAUCCCGGGCUACACGCGAGCUACAAUGGUUGGUACAAUGGGUAUCUACCCGAAAGGGGACGGGAAUCUCCUAAAACCAAUCUUAGUUCGGAUUGAGGGCUGCAACUCGCCCUCAUGAAGCUGGAAUCCGUAGUAAUCGCGUUUCAACAGAACGCGGUGAAUACGUCCCUGCUCCUU